AUCUAUACUGUGAAACUGCGAAUGGCUCAUUAAAUCAGUUAUCGUUUAUUUGAUAGUACCUUACUACUUGGAUAACCGUGGUAAUUCUAGAGCUAAUACAUGCUAAAAACCCCGACUUCGGAAGGGGUGUAUUUAUUAGAUAAAAAACCAAUGCCCUUCGGGGCUCCUUGGUGAUUCAUGAUAACUUAACGAAUCGCAUGGCCUUGCGCCGGCGAUGGUUCAUUCAAAUUUCUGCCCUAUCAACUUUCGAUGGUAGGAUAGUGGCCUACCAUGGUAUCAACGGGUAACGGGGAAUUAGGGUUCUAUUCCGGAGAGGGAGCCUGAGAAACGGCUACCACAUCCAAGGAAGGCAGCAGGCGCGCAAAUUACCCAAUCCCGACACGGGGAGGUAGUGACAAUAAAUACUGAUACAGGGCUCUUUUGGGUCUUGUAAUUGGAAUGAGUACAAUUUAAAUACCUUAACGAGGAACAAUUGGAGGGCAAGUCUGGUGCCAGCAGCCGCGGUAAUUCCAGCUCCAAUAGCGUAUAUUAAAGUUGUUGCAGUUAAAAAGCUCGUAGUUGAACCUUGGGCCUGGCUGGCCGGUCCGCCUCACCGCGUGUACUGGUCCGGCCGGGCCUUUCCUCCUGGGGAUCCGCAUGCCCUUCACUGGGUGUGUCGGGGAACCAGGACUUUUACUUUGAAAAAAUUAGAGUGUUCAAAGCAGGCCUUUGCUCGAAUACAUUAGCAUGGAAUAAUAGAAUAGGACGUGCGGUCCUAUUUUGUUGGUUUCUAGGACCGCCGUAAUGAUUAAUAGGGAUAGUCGGGGGCAUCAGUAUUCAAUUGUCAGAGGUGAAAUUCUUGGAUUUAUUGAAGACUAACUACUGCGAAAGCAUUUGCCAAGGAUGUUUUCAUUAAUCAGUGAACGAAAGUUAGGGGAUCGAAGACGAUCAGAUACCGUCGUAGUCUUAACCGUAAACUAUGCCGACUAGGGAUCGGGCGAUGUUAUUAUUUUGACUCGCUCGGCACCUUACGAGAAAUCAAAGUCU
This 1026-nucleotide ribosomal RNA is filed under the name Aplosporella prunicola. RNAcentral's name for it is "SSU rRNA". It matches the Rfam family "Eukaryotic small subunit ribosomal RNA", at positions 72 to 1106 of the family's 1831-position model. Lineage: Eukaryota; Fungi; Ascomycota; Dothideomycetes; Botryosphaeriales; Aplosporellaceae. RNAcentral also lists the same sequence under 1 other name. The record is from RNAcentral.